This is an RNA transcript of Chinchilla lanigera (long-tailed chinchilla), 1554 nucleotides long. It is a transcript of the gene named mitochondrial ribosomal protein S25, with no coding region annotated. NCBI's taxonomy places the organism in Eukaryota, Metazoa, Chordata, Mammalia, Rodentia, Chinchillidae. The record is from RefSeq and is a predicted model, not a curated record. The transcript is spliced from 5 exons.
GGGAGCGCCUCCCAUGAUGCCCCGCGUCGUGCCCGCUCUUUCUGUCUGCUGCCACUAUGUCCAUGAAGGGACGCUUCCCAAUUCGCCGCACGCUGCAGUAUCUGGGGCAGGGCAGCGUGGUUUUCAAGGACUCGGUGAAGGUCAUGACGGUGAACUACAACACGCACGGGGAGCUGAGCGAGGGCGCCAGGAAGUUCGUGUUUUUCAACGUCCCCCAGAUCCAGUACAAGAACCCCUGGGUGCAGAUCAUGAUGUUCAAGAACAUGACCCCGUCUCCCUUCUUGCGCUUCUACCUGGAUUCUGGGGAGCAGGUCUUAGUGGACAUGGAGACCAAGAGCAGCGGGGAGAUCGUGGAGCACGUCCGCAGGAUCCUGGGGAAGAGCGAGGAGACGCUGCAGAAGGAAGAGCAGGAGAGGCAGCGGCUGUCCCACCCGGCCAACUUUGGGCCCCGGAAGUACUGCCUGCGGGAGUGCAUGUGUGAGGUGGAGGGCCAGGUGCCGUGCCCGGGCCUAGUGCCCCUGCCCAAGGAGAUGACGGGCAAGGGCAGGGCCGCCCUGAGAGCCAGUGCCCAGGACUGAGGUGCCGUGGGGAGAUGGCCCCUACGAGCAAGGAUGCUGCGUGUGAGGACCGUGUCUGAGGACCCUGCGUGGGAGGAUAUGCAGGCUGCUGCGUGGACGGACGCCCCUGCCCUGUCAAUAAAGACUCCGAUGUUUUGUUUUCCACAGUGAGCACAUUAUUUUCGGAAGACAGCGUACAUCUGAACUGUGCAUGCAGCGUGAUCCAUCCUGCGGAGAGGGCACCCCGGUCUCAGGGGCAGCCAGGCGGCAGGCUCUGGAGUGGCAGGGCUGACCUGGGAGGGGUUCCUGGAGGUGGCUGACCAUCAGCAUUGUGUGGAGCGGUUCUGGGAGGGCUCGGGAGGACAAUCUGAGGGAAGAAAGGGCCCUGGGCAGGACAGCCUGGCCCAAGAGCAUACUGGAGCCGGCACUCCCUCCAGGGCCUUUUCUCAGUGAACUGUCUAAAUGGGUCUCUCUGGGUCUUCUUAGAAAGUCCAGAUCACUUGUCACCUCCCAGAUGCCCAGCUGCCUCAGGAGUGGCUGAGGAUUUCUUAGAACCAGCCUAUCCAUUUUCCAAGGCCACUGGGUAGUGACCUAAAGAGCCCCUGAGCAUGAGGUGCUCCUGGACUAGAGCUAGUGGGUGGUGGCCGUGCAGAAGUCACGGCGGAGAGGCUGCUGCCCCUGGCGUGCCUACCCAGAGACCCCAUCACAUGGAGAGCCACUGGGGACUGUCCUGCAUCAGUCGGGCCCGCAGAGCAGGCUUGCUCUGGGCUAUGUGGCGAGCCUGGCCCGGCGGUAUGUCUCUGUGGACUGAGUUUUAUUUGGGGGCCAGGGCAGGAAGGGAAGCAGGAAAUGAGCCACAUGUAAGGCGGCAGUGGCAGGGACUUGCUCUCUGUAGCCCCCGGUGCUGUGCCUAUUUAUAUGUAGUCUCGCUGCCUGCUGUUACAGACAAUACCUGUAAUUACCUUUCACCCAAAUAAAGGAACUUUUGAGACCGGUU